This is a non-coding RNA of Mesocricetus auratus (golden hamster), 414 nucleotides long. The record is from the annotation of a RefSeq genome assembly. NCBI's taxonomy places the organism in Eukaryota, Metazoa, Chordata, Mammalia, Rodentia, Cricetidae.
AGUAGCUCAGGUCCCAGUCACUCUCUCUGGUGUCUACUCCAGCUGCCAUUGGAAAUGCCAAUCCCCUGGGUUUUCCUUUUGUCUUUGGCUUGGGUUUAUGGAGACUCCUGGAUAUCUCAGAAUCAGCUGUCCAUUACCCGAACACCAAACAAGACCGUGCACAUAAGCUGCAAGCUCUCUGGGGUCCCCCUGAAGAACACCAUUGUGCACUGGUACCAACUGAAAGAAGGUGAGCCCCUGAAACGAAUCUUCUAUGGCUCAGCUAAAAAUUACAAGCAAGACAAGCCCAACUCCCGUUUGGAGGCAGACGAGAACGACGGCACCUUCAACCUGAUAAUCAACAAUGUUAUCACAGCAGACGAAGCCACAUACUACUGUGCGUGCUGGGAUCUCACAGUGUCUCAUUAUCUGUAG